GAUGAACGCUGGCGGCGUGCCUAAUACAUGCAAGUCGAGCGAACGGACGAGAAGCUUGCUUCUCUGAUGUUAGCGGCGGACGGGUGAGUAACACGUGGAUAACCUACCUAUAAGACUGGGAUAACUUCGGGAAACCGGAGCUAAUACCGGAUGAUAUUUUGAACCGCAUGGUUCAAAAGUGAAAGACGGUCUUGCUGUCACUUAUAGAUGGAUCCGCGCUGCAUUAGCUAAUUGGUAAGGUAACGGCUUACCAAGGCAACGAUGCAUAGCCGACCUGAGAGGGUGAUCGGCCACACUGGAACUGAGACACGGUCCAGACUCCUACGGGAGGCAGCAGUAGGGAAUCUUCCGCAAUGGGCGAAAGCCUGACGGAGCAACGCCGCGUGAGUGAUGAAGGUCUUCGGACCGUAAAACUCUGUUAUUAGGGAAGAACAUAUGUGUAAGUAACUGUGCACAUCUUGACGGUACCUAAUCAGAAAGCCACGGCUAACUACGUG
RNAcentral lists this ribosomal RNA (497 nucleotides) under uncultured bacterium. Its description in RNAcentral is "partial 16S ribosomal RNA". It matches the Rfam family "Bacterial small subunit ribosomal RNA", at positions 28 to 507 of the family's 1533-position model. The record is from RNAcentral.